UGCAUUGUAACGGUGUAAUUUUGCUUACUUGUUGAAUAGUUAGCAAGUUUUAAUGGAAAUAGAAAAUAUUGGUUAUCUAGACAAAUGUGCUCUUGUUUUUAGUAUAUUUUUAUAACUCUUUUGUAAUGUCUUCGUUAUCAGAGCCCUUCAAAUUAGAAUAGUGAUGAUGAUCUUGUCAAUGCUGAGAUUUUCAUGCAUCAACAGCCAUUACAUCUGGAUCAGAUUGAACAAGAAACAGACAGCAAGGGUUGUCAGAUCAGAAACAGAAUGACACACAAACACAAGAAACUUCACAGGCAGAUCAACAUGCAAUUUGAAGACGUGUGAUAAAAUACAGAGAGGUGAAGUAGUGUGUCUUUCCAGAUCCCUA
Non-coding RNA from Paramisgurnus dabryanus, 370 nucleotides. NCBI's taxonomy places the organism in Eukaryota, Metazoa, Chordata, Actinopteri, Cypriniformes, Cobitidae. The record is from RefSeq and is a predicted model, not a curated record.